AGUGAACGCUGGCGGUAGGCCUAACACAUGCAAGUCGAACGGCAGCACAGUAAGAGCUUGCUCUUACGGGUGGCGAGUGGCGGACGGGUGAGGAAUACAUCGGAAUCUACUUUUUCGUGGGGGAUAACGUAGGGAAACUUACGCUAAUACCGCAUACGACCUACGGGUGAAAGCAGGGGAUCUUCGGACCUUGCGCGAUUGAAUGAGCCGAUGUCGGAUUAGCUAGUUGGCGGGGUAAAGGCCCACCAAGGCGACGAUCCGUAGCUGGUCUGAGAGGAUGAUGAGACACACUGGAACUGAGACAAGGUCCAGACUCCGAAGGGAGGCAGCAGUGGGGAAUAUUGGACAAUGGGCGCAAGCCUGAUCCAGCCAUACCGCGUGGGUGAAGAAGGCCUUCGGGGUGUAAAGCCCUUUUGUUGGGAAAGAAAAGCAGCAGGUUAAUACCCCGCUGUUCUGACGGUACCCAAAGAAUAAGCACCGGCUAACUUCGUG
This 492-nucleotide ribosomal RNA is filed under the name uncultured bacterium. RNAcentral describes it as "partial 16S ribosomal RNA". It matches the Rfam family "Bacterial small subunit ribosomal RNA", at positions 29 to 507 of the family's 1533-position model. The record is from RNAcentral.